CCUUCGGGGAGCUUUUAUACAGGUGCUGCACGGCUGUCGUCAGCUCGUGUCGUGAGAUGUUGGGUUAAGUCCCGCAACGAGCGCAACCCUCGUCACUAGUUACUAACGGUUCGGCCGAGGACUCUAGUGAGACUGCCUUCGCAAGGAGGAGGAAGGUGAGGACGACGUCAAGUCAUCAUGGCCCUUACGGCUAGGGCAACACACGUGCUACAAUGGCCAGGACAAUGAGACGCGAUACCGCGAGGUGGAGCAAAUCUAUAAACCUGGUCUCAGUUCGGAUUGUUCUCUGCAACUCGAGAACAUGAAGCUGGAAUCACUAGUAAUCGUAGAUCAGCUAUGCUACGGUGAAUACGUUCCCGGGUCUUGUACUCACCGCCCGUCACACCAUGGGAGUUGAUUUCACCCGAAGCGGGGAAGCUAAACUGGCUACCCUCCACGGUGGAAUCAGCGACUGGGGUGAAGUCGUAACAAGGUA
This 475-nucleotide ribosomal RNA is filed under the name uncultured bacterium. Its description in RNAcentral is "bacterial SSU rRNA". It matches the Rfam family "Bacterial small subunit ribosomal RNA", at positions 1017 to 1498 of the family's 1533-position model. The record is from RNAcentral.